GACGAACGCUGGCGGCGUGCUUAACACAUGCAAGUCGAACGGAAAGGCCCUGCUUUUGUGGGGUGCUCGAGUGGCGAACGGGUGAGUAACACGUGAGUAACCUGCCCUUGACUUUGGGAUAACUUCAGGAAACUGGGGCUAAUACCGGAUAGGAGCUCCUGCUGCAUGGUGGGGGUUGGAAAGUUUCGGCGGUUGGGGAUGGACUCGCGGCUUAUCAGCUUGUUGGUGGGGUAGUGGCUUACCAAGGCUUUGACGGGUAGCCGGCCUGAGAGGGUGACCGGCCACAUUGGGACUGAGAUACGGCCCAGACUCCUACGGGAGACAGCAGUGGGGAAUAUUGCACAAUGGGCGGAAGCCUGAUGUAGCAACGCCGCGUGCGGGAUGACGGCCUUCGGGUUGUAAACCGCUUUCGCCUGUGACGAAGCGUGAGUGACGGUAAUGGGUAAAGAAGCACCGGCUAACUACGU
This 467-nucleotide ribosomal RNA is filed under the name uncultured bacterium. RNAcentral's name for it is "partial 16S ribosomal RNA". It matches the Rfam family "Bacterial small subunit ribosomal RNA", at positions 28 to 506 of the family's 1533-position model. The record is from RNAcentral.